RNAcentral lists this transfer RNA (72 nucleotides) under Chelonia mydas (Green sea turtle). It matches the Rfam family "tRNA". From Rfam's summary of the family: Transfer RNA (tRNA) molecules are approximately 80 nucleotides in length. Their secondary structure includes four short double-helical elements and three loops (D, anti-codon, and T loops). The record is from Rfam by way of RNAcentral. Lineage: Eukaryota; Metazoa; Chordata; Testudines; Cheloniidae.
GGAAGGAUGGUCUUGUGGUUAGGAUGCUGGAGCAGGACUCCAGAGAUCUGGGUUUAAUUCCCAGAUCUGCUA